This is a long non-coding RNA of Helianthus annuus (common sunflower), 298 nucleotides long. RefSeq lists it as uncharacterized. The transcript is spliced from 3 exons. The record is from RefSeq and is a predicted model, not a curated record. Lineage: Eukaryota; Viridiplantae; Streptophyta; Magnoliopsida; Asterales; Asteraceae.
CGUGUUCUAGAGAGAGGGAAAAAGGGAAGAACACCUUCAAGAACAAAAACCCAAAAUUCAGCAAAUUAGAAAGGAAAUUGAUGGUUAAUCUCUUGCAUGAGCCCUAAUACAUGAUCAUCUAAGCUCGUUUAAUAAGUGGUGUGAAGGAAGAAGGUUCAAGCAACAAGAAACCUUAAGGCUUGCAAAAUCGAGGUAAAUCUCAUCUUUAAUAACGGCGAGCCUGGAUCGAACACACUAUUGGAAAUUUUAGUGAAAAUGAGUUUUUCACUAAAUAUUUUGGACAUCAAUAAUAUUUAUA